GACGAACGCUGGCGGCAUGCCUAAUACAUGCAAGUCGAGCGAACAGAUGAAGUGCUUGCACUUCUGACGUUAGCGGCGAACGGGUGAGUAACACGUAAGGAAUCUACCUAUAAGCGGGGGAUAACAUUCGGAAACGGGUGCUGAUACCGCAUAAUAUCUUCUUCCGCAUGGAAGAAGAUUGAAAGACGGCUCUGCUGUCACUUAUAGAUGACCUUGCGGUGCAUUAGUUAGUUGGUGGGGUAAUGGCCUACCAAGACGAUGAUGCAUAGCCGACCUGAGAGGGUGAUCGGCCACAUUGGGACUGAGACACGGCCCAAACUCCUACGGGAGGCAGCAGUAGGGAAUCUUCCGCAAUGGGCGAAAGCCUGACGGAGCAAUGCCGCGUGAGUGAAGAAGGCCUUCGGGUCGUAAAACUCUGUUAUAAGAGAAGAACAAA
RNAcentral lists this ribosomal RNA (436 nucleotides) under uncultured bacterium. RNAcentral describes it as "bacterial SSU rRNA". It matches the Rfam family "Bacterial small subunit ribosomal RNA", at positions 28 to 453 of the family's 1533-position model. The record is from RNAcentral.